AGAGAGGUGCAAGAGUGGUUGAUCUGGCUACCCUGGAAAGGUAGUAUACUGGAAACGGUAUCGAGGGUUCGAAUCCCUUUCUCUCUGCCA
RNAcentral lists this transfer RNA (90 nucleotides) under Flavobacteriaceae bacterium CG2_30_31_66. RNAcentral describes it as "tRNA-Ser". It matches the Rfam family "tRNA". Rfam says of the family: Transfer RNA (tRNA) molecules are approximately 80 nucleotides in length. Their secondary structure includes four short double-helical elements and three loops (D, anti-codon, and T loops). The record is from RNAcentral. RNAcentral also lists the same sequence under 6 other names. Lineage: Bacteria; Pseudomonadati; Bacteroidota; Flavobacteriia; Flavobacteriales; Flavobacteriaceae.